Molecule: ribosomal RNA, 514 nt
Filed under: uncultured Actinomycetes bacterium
Lineage: Bacteria; Bacillati; Actinomycetota; Actinomycetes
Description: bacterial SSU rRNA
Rfam family: Bacterial small subunit ribosomal RNA
Source: RNAcentral
CGCAAGCCUGAUGCAGCGACGCCGCGUGUGGGAUGAAGGCUUUCGGGUUGUAAACCACUUUCGAGCGGGGACGAAGCCUUACGGUGACGGUACCCGCAGAAGAAGGUCCGGCCAACUACGUGCCAGCAGCCGCGGUAAUACGUAGGGACCGAGCGUUGUCCGGAUUUAUUGGGCGUAAAGCGCGCGUAGGCGGCCGAUCGCGUCGGAUGCGAAAGCUCGGAGCUCAACUCUGAGAGGUCAUUCGAUACGGGUCGGCUAGAGGCAGGUAGGGGAGAUCGGAAUUCCUGGUGUAGCGGUGAAAUGCGCAGAUAUCAGGAGGAACACCGGUGGCGAAGGCGGAUCUCUGGGCCUGUUCUGACGCUGAGGCGCGAAAGCUGGGGGAGCAAACAGGAUUAGAUACCCUGGUAGUCCCAGCCGUAAACGUUGGGUGCUAGGUGUGGGGAGGUCUUCAACCCUUUCCGUGCCGACGCUAACGCAUUAAGCACCCCGCCUGGGGAGUACGGCCGCAAGGCUA